GACGAACGCUGGCGGCGUGCCUAAUACAUGCAAGUCGAACGAAGCUGUUUUAACUGGUGCUUGCACCGACUUAAACAACUGAGUGGCGAACGGGUGAGUAACACGUGGGUAACCUGCCCCAAAGCGGGGGAUAACAUUUGGAAACAGAUGCUAAUACCGCAUAACCACAGAAACCAAAUGGUUUCUGUGUCAAAGAUGGUUUCGGCUAUCACUUUGGGAUGGACCCGCGGCGUAUUAGCUAGUUGGUAAGGUAAUGGCUUACCAAGGCAAUGGUACGUAGCCGAACUGAGAGGUUGAUCGUCUACAUUGGGACUGAGACACGGCCCAAACUCCUACGGGAGGCAGCAGUAGGGAAUCUUCCGCAAUGGACGAAAGUCUGAUGGAGCAACGCCGCGUGAGUGAAGAAGGUUUUCGGAUCGUAAAACUCUGUUGUCAGAGAAGAACGUGUGCGAGAGUAACUGUUCGUGCAGUGACGGUAUCUGGCCAGAAAGCCACGGCCAACUACGUGCCAGCCGCCGCAGUAA
RNAcentral lists this ribosomal RNA (524 nucleotides) under uncultured bacterium. RNAcentral describes it as "partial 16S ribosomal RNA". It matches the Rfam family "Bacterial small subunit ribosomal RNA", at positions 28 to 523 of the family's 1533-position model. The record is from RNAcentral.